RNAcentral lists this ribosomal RNA (495 nucleotides) under uncultured bacterium. RNAcentral describes it as "partial 16S ribosomal RNA". It matches the Rfam family "Bacterial small subunit ribosomal RNA", at positions 28 to 507 of the family's 1533-position model. The record is from RNAcentral.
GAUGAACGCUGGCGGCGUGCCUAAUACAUGCAAGUAGAACGCUGAAGGAGGAGCUUGCUUCUCCGGAUGAGUUGCGAACGGGUGAGUAACGCGUAGGUAACCUGCCUGGUAGCGGGGGAUAACUAUUGGAAACGAUAGCUAAUACCGCAUAACAGUAAAUAUCGCAUGAUAUCUGCUUGAAAGGUGCAAUUGCAUCACUACCAGAUGGACCUGCGUUGUAUUAGCUAGUUGGUGAGGUAACGGCUCACCAAGGCGACGAUACAUAGCCGACCUGAGAGGGUGAUCGGCCACACUGGGACUGAGACACGGCCCAGACUCCUACGGGAGGCAGCAGUAGGGAAUCUUCGGCAAUGGACGGAAGUCUGACCGAGCAACGCCGCGUGAGUGAAGAAGGUUUUCGGAUCGUAAAGCUCUGUUGUAAGAGAAGAACGAGUGUGAGAGUGGAAAGUUCACACUGUGACGGUAUCUUACCAGAAAGGGACGGCUAACUACGUG